This 312-nucleotide ribosomal RNA is filed under the name uncultured Allomuricauda sp. RNAcentral describes it as "bacterial SSU rRNA". It matches the Rfam family "Bacterial small subunit ribosomal RNA", at positions 28 to 334 of the family's 1533-position model. The record is from RNAcentral. Lineage: Bacteria; Pseudomonadati; Bacteroidota; Flavobacteriia; Flavobacteriales; Flavobacteriaceae.
GAUGAACGCUAGCGGCAGGCCUAACACAUGCAAGUCGAGGGGUAACAGGGAGAAGCUUGCUUCUUGCUGACGACCGGCGCACGGGUGCGGAACGCGUAUGGAACCUGCCCCUGUCAGGGGAAUAGCCCAGAGAAACUUGGAUUAAUGCCCCAUGGUACCGGGAUAUCGCAUGAUAUCCCGGUUAAAGAUUUAUCGGACAGGGACGGCCAUGCGUACCAUUAGUUAGUCGGUGGGGUAACGGCCCACCAAGGCAGCGAUGGUUAGGGGCCCUGAGAGGGGGAUCCCCCACACUGGUACUGAGACACGGACCAG